GACUUCUGACCUAAGUAGCUGGGCAGGCUGAUACGAACAGACAAAGCGAGCUAUUUUGGAGGCUAGUAAACUUUCAUUUUAGACUAAACUUUGGUUCAGAACUAUCCCUAAGAGGCCAGGUGUGGUGGCUCACACCUUAUAAUCCCAACGUUUUGGGAGGACAAGGCAGGAGGAUCACUUGAGGCCCGGAGUUCAAGACCGGCCUGAACAACAUAGCGAGACCCUAUCUCUACCAUAAAAAAGACCCAGAACAUCCUCGCCAGCCUGUGCUCCCUAUGGGGCACCCCCUCCAGUGGAAGUGAGGGCAGCCACGCACCCCUGGGAAUGCCUUAGAGAGGGGCCAAUUGCCAUCGCCAGGGGCCUGACUCUGCAACCAUCCACACCUACGGGGAGUCCAUUUGAGAGAUGAGGAAGCUGAAGCUCCAGGCCCCUGGCUCGUGCUGGUCACCCAACCACCCGGAACCUGGUCGCCAACCCGCUGUCAGUUGCUCGGCAGUGGACUCCUCUCCUGGCUCAGGGCGCGGUUCCGGCAGGCGUCCACCAGGUGGCAGCACCGGCACAUUCUGCAGGCUGUUCCGGCUCAGAGCUCGAUGUAGUGCUCUGGGGUAACCUGGGCCCCAGCCUGUCCCCUCCCGCCCCCUGCAGCCCCUCCUCCCACCGCCUGCAGCCCCUCCUCCCGCUCUGUCCAGCUUCGAACAGGCCACUCAGGCCUCCCAGCCUUACUUCCACCGUGGCCCAGGCCAUGACCUUGGCCCCAACUCUGGGCCCUGCCCUAUCUGUCCUUCCUGGUGGUCUGUCUCAUUCACUGCCCUACCCAGGGGAACAGCACCUGGGGCUGGGGGGCAGAUGGCCACGUGGUCCAAUGGUCUCCUUCAUGGCUGGGGUGAAGCUGGGUGGGGUCAAGGGAAGAAGAGGUGGAUCCCAACGGGGGCAGGGCCAGCCAGGGCCUCCCAUCUCCCCUCAGGCCAGGCCUCUGGAGAUGGGGGUGGAACACCUUCCAUGGGAGGCUGCCCCUGGGAACAGGCCUGUAUACUCCCGCCUCGGCCCACCACACAGCCUGUCCCCAAACCUGUUGGGGUGGCGGUGCCCACCAGGAGGAGCUGGGGAGGACCAGCUGCUCUGAGGAUGCUGCUUCCCUCCCAGGACUCCCCACUCCCUCCCUGGCCACCCACUCUUCCACCCAGCAAAGUGAGCCAAAAAUUUGAAAAGCA
RNAcentral lists this long non-coding RNA (1211 nucleotides) under Homo sapiens (human). Its description in RNAcentral is "HSALNT0379562". The record is from RNAcentral. Lineage: Eukaryota; Metazoa; Chordata; Mammalia; Primates; Hominidae.